RNAcentral lists this ribosomal RNA (474 nucleotides) under uncultured bacterium. Its description in RNAcentral is "bacterial SSU rRNA". It matches the Rfam family "Bacterial small subunit ribosomal RNA", at positions 8 to 526 of the family's 1533-position model. The record is from RNAcentral.
AGAGUUUGAUCCUGGCUCAGGAUGAACGCUGGCGGCGUGCCUAAUACAUGCAAGUCGAACGGGGCGAAAGCCUAGUGGCGACCGGGUGAGUAACACGUAGCUGACCUACCCCUCUGCGGGGGACAACAGUUCGAAAGGACUGCUAAUACCGCAUAGUAUCGGAAACGAUUAAACUUCAGGGGCGGAGGGCGGGGGCUGCGGCCCAUCAGGUAGUUGGUGAGGUAACGGCUCACCAAGCCGACGACGGGUAGGGGGUCUGAGAGGAUGAUCCCCCACACUGGAACAGACAGACGGUCCAGACUCCUACGGGAGGCAGCAGUAAGGGAUAUUGCGCAAUGGGCGAAAGCCUGACGCAGCAACGCCGCGUGGAGGACGAAGCUUUUCGGAGCGUAAACUCCUUUUAGCAGGGACGAGGAAGGACGGUACCUGCUGAAUAAGCCUCGGCUAACUACGUGCCAGCCGCCGCGGUAAUAC